Molecule: ribosomal RNA, 492 nt
Filed under: uncultured bacterium
Lineage: Bacteria
Description: partial 16S ribosomal RNA
Rfam family: Bacterial small subunit ribosomal RNA
Source: RNAcentral
AGUGAACGCUGGCGGUAGGCCUAACACAUGCAAGUCGAACGGCAGCACAGUAAGAGCUUGCUCUUACGGGUGGCGAGUGGCGGACGGGUGAGGAAUACAUCGGAAUCUACUUUUUCGUGGGGGAUAACGUAGGGAAACUUACGAUAAUACCGCAUACGACCUACGGGUGAAAGCAGGGGAUCUUCGGACCUUGCGCGAAUGAAUGAGCCGAUGUCGGAUUAGUUAGUUGGCGGGGUAAAGGCCCACCAAGGCGACGAUCCGUAGCUGGUCUGAGAGGAUGAUCAGCCACACUAGAACUGGGACACGGUCCAGACGCCUACGAGAGGCAGCAGUGGGGAAUAUUGGACAAUGGGGGCAAGCCUGAUCCAGCCAUACCGCGUGGGUGAAGAAGGCCUUCGGGUUGUAAAGCCCUUUUGUUGGGAAAGAAAAGCAGCAGGUUAAUACCCCGCUGUUCUGACGGUACCCAAAGAAUAAGCACCGGCUAACUUCGUG